UGCGGGAUCGUCUAACGGUAGGACUCUGGCCUCUGGCGCCAGCUAUCUAGGUUCGAAUCCUAGUCCCGCAG
RNAcentral lists this transfer RNA (71 nucleotides) under Gaiellaceae bacterium. Its description in RNAcentral is "tRNA-Gln". It matches the Rfam family "tRNA". From Rfam's summary of the family: Transfer RNA (tRNA) molecules are approximately 80 nucleotides in length. Lineage: Bacteria; Bacillati; Actinomycetota; Thermoleophilia; Gaiellales; Gaiellaceae. RNAcentral also lists the same sequence under 2 other names. The record is from RNAcentral.